UGAGCAUUUGUGAGUUGUAACUUGCUUGGAA
RNAcentral lists this non-coding RNA (31 nucleotides) under Mus musculus (house mouse). The record is from RNAcentral. Lineage: Eukaryota; Metazoa; Chordata; Mammalia; Rodentia; Muridae.